CCUUGGCAGUCAGAGGCGAUGAAAGACGUAGUAACUUGCGAUAAGCCCAGAUUAGGUAGUAACAACCAUUUGAGUCUGGGAUUUCUGAAUGGGGAAACCCACGUGCAUAAGCACGUAUCCUUACCUGAAUACAUAGGGUAAGGAGGCGAACCGGGGGAACUGAAACAUCUAAGUACCCCGAGGAAAAGAAAUCAACCGAGAUUCCGAAAGUAGCGGCGAGCGAAAUUGGACUAGCCCUUAAGCUUUACACGCGUUAGACGAACGGUCUGGAAAGUCCGACGAUACAGGGUGAUAGUCCCGUAGUUGACGACGUGUGUUCAGUGAAAUCGAGUAGGGCGGGACACGUGAUAUCCUGUCUGAAUAUGGGGGGACCAUCCUCCAAGGCUAAAUACUACUGACUGACCGAUAGUGAACCAGUACCGUGAGGGAAAGGCGAAAAGAACCCCUGUGAGGGGAGUGAAAUAGAACCUGAAACCGUGUACGUACAAGCAGUAGGAGCAGGCUUUGUCCUGUGACUGCGUACCUUUUGUAUAAUGGGUCAGCGACUUAUAUUCAGUGGCAAGGUUAACCAUCUAGGGGAGCCGUAGGGAAACCGAGUCUUAACUGGGCGUUCAGUCUCUGGAUAUAGACCCGAAACCAGGUGAUCUAGCCAUGGGCAGGUUGAAGGUUGAGUAACAUCAACUGGAGGACCGAACCGACUAAUGUUGAAAAAUUAGCGGAUGACUUGUGGCUAGGGGUGAAAGGCCAAUCAAACCUGGAGAUAGCUGGUUCUCCCCGAAAGCUAUUUAGGUAGCGCCUCGGACGAAUACUACUGGGGGUAGAGCACUGUUAAGGCUAGGGGGUCAUCCCGACUUACCAACCCUUUGCAAACUCCGAAUACCAGUAAGUACUAUCCGGGAGACACACGGCGGGUGCUAACGUCCGUCGUGGAGAGGGAAACAACCCAGACCGCCAGCUAAGGUCCCAAAUUACUACUAAGUGGGAAACGAUGUGGGAAGGCUCAGACAGCCAGGAUGUUGGCUUAGAAGCAGCCAUCAUUUAAAGAAAGCGUAAUAGCUCACUGGUCGAGUCGGCCUGCGCGGAAGAUGUAACGGGGCUAAGUAGUAAACCGAAGCUGCGGCAAUGUGCUUUUGCACAUUGGGUAGGGGAGCGUUCUGUAAGCGGUUGAAGGUGUGUGGUAACGCAUGCUGGACGUAUCAGAAGUGCGAAUGCUGACAUGAGUAACGAUAAAGGGGGUGAAAAACCUCCUCGCCGGAAGACCAAGGGUUCCUGUCCAACGUUAAUCGGGGCAGGGUAAGUCGACCCCUAAGGCGAGGCCGAAAGGCGUAGUCGAUGGGAAACGGGUUAAUAUUCCCGUACUUCUUACAAUUGCGAUGGGGGGACGGAGAAGGCUAGGUGGGCCUGGCGACGGUUGUCCAGGUUCAAGUGCGUAGGCUUAAGAGUUAGGUAAAUCCGGCUCUUUUUAAGGCUGAGACACGACGUCGAGCACCUACGGGUGUGAAGUCAUUGAUGCCAUGCUUCCAGGAAAAGCCUCUAAGCUUCAGAUUGUAAGGAAUCGUACCCCAAACCGACACAGGUGGUCGGGUAGAGAAUACCAAGGCGCUUGAGAGAACUCGGGUGAAGGAACUAGGCAAAAUGGUACCGUAACUUCGGGAGAAGGUACGCUCUCGACGGUGAAGUCCCUCGCGGAUGGAGCUAUUGAGAGUCGCAGAUACCAGGUGGCUGCAACUGUUUAUUAAAAACACAGCACUGUGCAAAAUCGUAAGAUGACGUAUACGGUGUGACGCCUGCCCGGUGCCGGAAGGUUAAUUGAUGGGGUUAGACUUCGGUCGAAGCUCUUGAUCGAAGCCCCGGUAAACGGCGGCCGUAACUAUAACGGUCCUAAGGUAGCGAAAUUCCUUGUCGGGUAAGUUCCGACCUGCACGAAUGGCGUAAUGAUGGCCACGCUGUCUCCACCCGAGACUCAGUGAAAUUGAAAUCGCUGUGAAGAUGCAGUGUACCCGCGGCUAGACGGAAAGACCCCGUGAACCUUUACUACAGCUUGGCACUGAACAUUGACCCUACAUGUGUAGGAUAGGUGGGAGGCUUUGAAGCACGUACGCCAGUAUGUGUGGAGCCGUCCUUGAAAUACCACCCUUGUAGUGUUGAUGUUCUAACGUCGACCCCUUAUCGGGGUUGCGGACAGUGCCUGGUGGGUAGUUUGACUGGGGCGGUCUCCUCCCAAAGAGUAACGGAGGAGCACGAAGGUGGGCUAAUCACGGUUGGACAUCGUGAGGUUAGUGCAAUGGCAUAAGCCCGCUUGACUGCGAGAAUGACAAUUCGAGCAGGUGCGAAAGCAGGUCAUAGUGAUCCGGUGGUUCUGAAUGGAAGGGCCAUCGCUCAACGGAUAAAAGGUACUCCGGGGAUAACAGGCUGAUACCGCCCAAGAGUUCAUAUCGACGGCGGUGUUUGGCACCUCGAUGUCGGCUCAUCACAUCCUGGGGCUGAAGUCGGUCCCAAGGGUAUGGCUGUUCGCCAUUUAAAGUGGUACGCGAGCUGGGUUUAGAACGUCGUGAGACAGUUCGGUCCCUAUCUGCCGUGGGCGUUGGAAGAUUGAAGGGGGCUGCUCCUAGUACGAGAGGACCGGAGUGGACGAACCUCUGGUGUUCGGGUUGUGUCGCCAGACGCAUUGCCCGGUAGCUAAGUUCGGAAUCGAUAACCGCUGAAAGCAUCUAAGCGGGAAGCGAGCCCUGAGAUGAGUCUUCCCUGAUACUUUAAGUAUCCUAAAGGGUUGUCGGAGACUACGACGUUGAUAGGUCAGGUGUGUAAGUGCUGUGAGGCAUUGAGCUAACUGAUACUAAUUGCCCGUGAGGCUUAACCAU
RNAcentral lists this ribosomal RNA (2861 nucleotides) under Vibrio parahaemolyticus AQ4037. Its description in RNAcentral is "bacterial LSU rRNA". It matches the Rfam family "Bacterial large subunit ribosomal RNA". The record is from RNAcentral. Lineage: Bacteria; Pseudomonadati; Pseudomonadota; Gammaproteobacteria; Vibrionales; Vibrionaceae.